Molecule: ribosomal RNA, 289 nt
Filed under: uncultured Oscillibacter sp.
Lineage: Bacteria; Bacillati; Bacillota; Clostridia; Eubacteriales; Oscillospiraceae
Description: partial 16S ribosomal RNA
Rfam family: Bacterial small subunit ribosomal RNA
Source: RNAcentral
UGGGGAAUAUUGGGCAAUGGACGCAAGUCUGACCCAGCAACGCCGCGUGAAGGAAGAAGGCUUUCGGGUUGUAAACUUCUUUUAAGAGGGAACAGCAGAAGAGGGUACCUCUUGAAUAAGCCACGGCUAACUACGUGCCAGCAGCCGCGGUAAUACGUAGGUGGCAAGCGUUGUCCGGAUUUACUGGGUGUAAAGGGCGUGCAGCCGGGUCUGCAAGUCAGAUGUGAAAUCCGUGGGCUCAACCCACGAACUGCAUUUGAAACUGUGGAUCUUGAGUAUCGGAGAGGUA